Molecule: long non-coding RNA, 2817 nt
Organism: Phasianus colchicus (ring-necked pheasant)
Lineage: Eukaryota; Metazoa; Chordata; Aves; Galliformes; Phasianidae
Source: Ensembl
CUUUAAUGUUACCUACAUUUCUGUGAAAAAUAUUUUUAGUACUUACCAGAAUUGUUUGCACUAUAAUGGAUUAUCUUUUUCCAUUUAAAAACACUAAAACAUUCUGUUUGUCUCAUUUGCAGUGCAAUUUGGAAAAUGCAGGAAGGAUAUUGCAACGUUCUCACAUGUGUCCUGUACUCAUUUUCCUGCAGAGUAUUGGAAAUCUGUUUCAAAAUCUGUUGCUUUGGCUGACCUUUGGGAAGGCUCCAUUGGUGUGUUCUGGUCCUUAUCAACAUGAAAACCAAAAAUAUUUUCAAAAGAAUAGGAAAACAGAUGAAGCAAUAGGCCUUCUGCUCUGGUGCAUUGUGGUGGAAAAGGCACAUAUAUUUGAAACUGGAGGCUAUCGUUGUAAAUAUGCCUGUAGGCAAUUAGUUGAGGGAAGAUACUGAUCUUCUUCAGAACAGCAAAGAAACAAGCAAAGGCAUUCCCAGGCAUGUUCUUUUUAAUUAAAUCUUGGCUCUCAGGAUUCCUACAGCAGAGGAAAUUUCUGCCUGCAUCCUUAGUAUUGGUGGAGCCAGCUGCAAUCAGAAGAAACAAUGCCAUAUUCUUGGUGCUAUUUCUUUUAUCUAUUUUAAUUGUGUCUGGUAAGAAAAGUCAUUAGAAACUGUUUUUCCAUUAAAGGCAAAAUGUUCAUCCAUACAGAAGGUGUUUCAUCAGGGUGAGGAACUGGUAUUGCAACUUGCAUGGAUGCUAUUAUAUUCCUCUGCCUACAUAAACAGCAAACACUGUGUCAACUGUAUAACUGUAUCUGUAUCUUCUAAUUGGCUUUUAUGACUUGAUUACAAUACUUCCCAGCCUUACACUGCCAUCUGAUGAAAAAAAAAAAAAAAAAGAAUCUUUGUAGCUGAUCCUGCUUAAUAUUUCAUGAAGAGAGAGUCUCAAGCCUGUAAGAAACAUUUGCAUAAGAAGCAAUAUUCAUAUAUUACUUUGAUGGCAAUCUCAACUUCAAUGAAAAAUUAUUUUAGCCUGAGCUAGAAGUGUUUUUAUAUCAGACAAGCUCAACAUCCAGCAGUCUGAGCAAGAAAACUGUUUCUGAGCUCUCCAGCAUACUACAAAAAUGAAUGCAGAUUAGUCUCCAAAGAAAUAUAAUAAUGAGACCAUUGCCCUAUACGAGCCUUCAUAACUUCAGGCAGAAAUUCUGCUCCUGCUAUAAUUUCCCUAUGAUCUUCUAAUAAGUCAGUAUUUUACUAUCGACUCUCAGAACUUAUCCUGCACUGCUCUCUCUCACCCAUGAGUGAAUGGAGAAUACCUGUGCAAUUAUUGCUAUUUAGAAUAGAAGCAUAUGAUUAAAAAAAAAAUCCAAAAUUCAAGAGCUUUUAGUUUUGUUCUAGUCAGAAGAGAUGGUGACAGCAUUUGCGGGUAAUUUUUUUAAUGCUGACUAUGGCAAAGUAGACAUGCCUGUAUGCUGGAUAUUUUUUAGUGAGUUGCUCCCUUUUACUCCUUUUUAUUCUGUUACUGUUGCUAUUAUAAUAUCUGAAAAGCUAAGGGGAAAAUACAGCAGAAUACUGGUUGUCAAGUUACAGCACCAAGCUAUAUUGAAUUUGUCAGAUAAAAUUGCAUGCUCAAUACUUGUCAAAAUACUCUGUCAGUAGUAGUAAGGAUAGAUCUGAUAGUUAAGUUUUUCCAGAUGACAGUGUUCCUUGAAGCCACUGCAAGAAAAUGUUCCCUUCAAAGUGACAGAGAAAAAUGAGAAGUGGGGAGAGGAAGAGAGAUGGGAAGGGAGAGGGAGCUAGAUAGCAACCUUAUUGCAUGUUUUAUGUCCUCCUAUUGCUUGAAAGAUUCCGUCAAGUGAGCAGCACUAGAGAUAGAUAUUCUUCCUGAAGCAACAAAAUGAGGUUCAAUCAAUGCUGGGGAAACCUCAUCUCAUCAAAGUUGAGAUUACCUCUAAACAUAGAUUUAUUCAUUUAUACACAUACACGUGCUCUCACUCGUACAGAAGUCACUGAUUUAGACUAAAUCUCCUCUGAGCCUGCUUAGGAAAAGACGUUCUACUAAGUUAGUGUCAAGUAUAAUCUCUGAUUAAUGCCAGUGCUGGUAUUCCAGGCUGUAAAAUAAGUAUGAAAAGUCCUCAAAGGAGGAUGUCAUCUUAUUUUAAUCUCCCUUUAAUCUCUCUUGCCCCAAGAAACUCUGUGUGUCCCCCCUUACUCUUCUGCUAUGGAACCCUGACUGUUUAUUCCAUACUGAAUCGCUUCAGCUCACAAAAUGAGCUUUUUCUGGGGAAAAGUGGACCACAGACACUGUGAACACAUUUUGAAAAGGGAGACUGAUACUAAGUGGUAUAAAUCACAAUGUUGCUAACUCCAGUCUUCUGAAAAUGUGACCUGAUAUGAGGUGAAUAUUUCUGAAAUUAUUUUUCCUCCUUAGUGUGUAAAAAAUUUAUUAUGACAACUGGAUUAAAAAAGAAGACUUUAAUUGGGCUACAUCUUAUAAUGAUAACUUGUAGAGCUUUUUGAAAACUCAAGGAAGAAACUUGUAUAUAGGAUCAUAAUCUAAAAAGUUUUAAUGAUACAGAGCAUAGUGUAAUGUUCAGCCAGAUACUGAAGCUGUUCUCCUCUGUGAUUCUUAAUGAAUACAGCCCUCAAAGCAUUUAAUGCCUUCAGCUGCCCUGAAAAAAGUGAUUCCAUUUUGUCCAGAAAUUAUUCUGUUUGAGAAAGUAUUGCUUCGAGCAAGCACCAGCAAACUCAAUGUUUAUGAGAAUUCCAUUGUUCAGGAACAAAACCUGUGGAUAUGGAUUUUUGGAAUUUUACUGUUAGAAAAAUAAAUUAAAGGAGAGGAACA